RNAcentral lists this small RNA (28 nucleotides) under Bombyx mori (domestic silkworm). RNAcentral describes it as "ovarian small RNA-8604". The record is from RNAcentral. Lineage: Eukaryota; Metazoa; Arthropoda; Insecta; Lepidoptera; Bombycidae.
UGCUAAAAUCGGUGUACACAGCAUCAAC